Molecule: ribosomal RNA, 253 nt
Filed under: uncultured bacterium
Lineage: Bacteria
Description: partial 16S ribosomal RNA
Rfam family: Bacterial small subunit ribosomal RNA
Source: RNAcentral
UACGAGUGGUGCAAGCGUUAUUCGGAAUCAUUGGGCGUAAAGGGUGUGUAGACGGCAUGUUAAGUCAGUUGUUAAAUUCUUCGGCCUAACCGAAGGGCUGCAACAGAUACUGGUGUGCUUGAGGAUGGAAGAGAGAAGUGGAAUUCUCGGAGUAGCGGUAAAAUGCGUAGAUCUCGAGAGGAACACCAAUGGCGAAGGCAGCUUCUUGGUCCAUUUCUGACGUUGAAACAUGAAAGCGUGGGGAGCAAACAGG